RNAcentral lists this ribosomal RNA (900 nucleotides) under Arthrobacter sp. Its description in RNAcentral is "bacterial SSU rRNA". It matches the Rfam family "Bacterial small subunit ribosomal RNA", at positions 603 to 1501 of the family's 1533-position model. Lineage: Bacteria; Bacillati; Actinomycetota; Actinomycetes; Micrococcales; Micrococcaceae. The record is from RNAcentral.
CGGGGCUCAACUCCGGAUCUGCGGUGGGUACGGGCAGACUAGAGUGAUGUAGGGGAGACUGAAAUUCCUGGUGUAGCGGUGAAAUGCGCAGAUAUCAGGAGGAACACCGAUGGCGAAGGCAGGUCUCUGGGCAUUAACUGACGCUGAGGAGCGAAAGCAUGGGGAGCGAACAGGAUUAGAUACCCUGGUAGUCCAUGCCGUAAACGUUGGGCACUAGGUGUGGGGGACAUUCCACGUUUUCCGCGCCGUAGCUAACGCAUUAAGUGCCCCGCCUGGGGAGUACGGCCGCAAGGCUAAAACUCAAAGGAAUUGACGGGGGCCCGCACAAGCGGCGGAGCAUGCGGAUUAAUUCGAUGCAACGCGAAGAACCUUACCAAGGCUUGACAUGAACCGGAAACACCUGGAAACAGGUGCCCCGCUUGCGGUCGGUUUACAGGUGGUGCAUGGUUGUCGUCAGCUCGUGUCGUGAGAUGUUGGGUUAAGUCCCGCAACGAGCGCAACCCUCGUUCUAUGUUGCCAGCGCGUGAUGGCGGGGACUCAUAGGAGACUGCCGGGGUCAACUCGGAGGAAGGUGGGGACGACGUCAAAUCAUCAUGCCCCUUAUGUCUUGGGCUUCACGCAUGCUACAAUGGCCGGUACAAAGGGUUGCGAUACUGUGAGGUGGAGCUAAUCCCAAAAAGCCGGUCUCAGUUCGGAUUGGGGUCUGCAACUCGACCCCAUGAAGUCGGAGUCGCUAGUAAUCGCAGAUCAGCAACGCUGCGGUGAAUACGUUCCCGGGCCUUGUACACACCGCCCGUCAAGUCACGAAAGUUGGUAACACCCGAAGCCGGUGGCCUACCCCUUGUGGGAGGGAGCUGUCCGAAGGUGGGACUGCGAUUGGACGAAGUCGUACAGGUAACC